AGAACGAACGCUGGCGGCAGGCUUAACACAUGCAAGUCGAACGCCCCGCAAGGGGAGUGGCAGACGGGUGAGUAACGCGUGGGAAUCUACCCAAUUCUUCGGAACAACUGAGGGAAACUUCAGCUAAUACCGGAUACGCCCUACGGGGAAAGAUUUAUCGGAAUUGGAUGAGCCCGCGUAAGAUUAGCUAGUUGGUGGGGUAAUGGCCUACCAAGGCGACGAUCUUUAGCUGGUCUGAGAGGAUGAUCAGCCACACUGGGACUGAGACACGGCCCAGACUCCUACGGGAGGCAGCAGUGGGGAAUAUUGGACAAUGGGCGAAAAGCCUGAUCCAGCCAUGCCGCGUGAGUGAUGAAGGCCUUAGGGUUGUAAAGCUCUUUCAGUAGGGAAGAUAAUGACGGUACCUACAGAAGAAGCCCCGGCUAAACUUCGUGCCAGCAGCCGC
This 445-nucleotide ribosomal RNA is filed under the name uncultured bacterium. Its description in RNAcentral is "SSU rRNA". It matches the Rfam family "Bacterial small subunit ribosomal RNA", at positions 26 to 518 of the family's 1533-position model. The record is from RNAcentral.